GACGAACGCUGGCGGCGUGCUUAACACAUGCAAGUCGAGCGAGACGCCCCUUUGGGGUGCUCGUGUUAGCAACGGGCGAGUGAGUAACGCGUGAGCUGCCUUCCCUCUUGGCUGAGAUAUCUCCAACUGGGCGUAGUUAAUACUGGGAACGCGCUCCUCGGGCUUUUUGGGGGGAGGAAUGUUUGUCGGGGGAGGAGUGGCCCGCGGGCCAACUUGUAGUUGGGUGGGUAAUGGCCCACCAAGGCGACGACGGGUAGCCGGCCUGAGAGGGCGACCGGCCACACUGGGACUGAGAUACGGCCCAGACUCCUACGGGAGGCAGCAGUGGGGAAUAUUGCGCAAUGGGCGAAAGCCUGACGCAGCGACGCCGCGUGAGGGACGAAGGCCUUCGGGUUGUAAACCUCUUUCACCAGGGACGAAGCGAAAGUGACGGUACCUGGAGAAGAAGCACCGGCCAACUACGUG
RNAcentral lists this ribosomal RNA (465 nucleotides) under uncultured bacterium. RNAcentral's name for it is "partial 16S ribosomal RNA". It matches the Rfam family "Bacterial small subunit ribosomal RNA", at positions 28 to 507 of the family's 1533-position model. The record is from RNAcentral.